Molecule: ribosomal RNA, 253 nt
Filed under: uncultured bacterium
Lineage: Bacteria
Description: partial 16S ribosomal RNA
Rfam family: Bacterial small subunit ribosomal RNA
Source: RNAcentral
UACGAAGGGGGCUAGCGUUGCUCGGAAUUACUGGGCGUAAAGGGCGCGUAGGCGGCGGUGUUCGUCAGGCGUGAAAGCCCUGGGCUCAACCUGGGGACUGCGCUUGAUACGGCAUUGCUAGAGGAUGGAAGAGGGUCGCGGAAUUCCCAGUGUAGAGGUGAAAUUCGUAGAUAUUGGGAAGAACACCGGUGGCGAAGGCGGCGACCUGGUCCAUUACUGACGCUGAGGCGCGACAGCGUGGGGAGCAAACAGG